RNAcentral lists this non-coding RNA (871 nucleotides) under Cornufer neckeri (Necker's wrinkled ground frog). RNAcentral's name for it is "Platymantis neckeri (Necker's wrinkled ground frog) partial 12S ribosomal RNA". It matches the Rfam family "Bacterial small subunit ribosomal RNA", at positions 397 to 1522 of the family's 1533-position model. The record is from RNAcentral. Lineage: Eukaryota; Metazoa; Chordata; Amphibia; Anura; Ceratobatrachidae.
GCAUACCUGUGAGGACGCCCUUCCCCCUAGACCAGAAGAAGGAGCAGGUAUCAGGCACAGAACCUCUAGCCUAAAACACCUAGCACCACCACACCCAUAAGGGCAUGCAGCAGUGAUUAACAUUACCAAUAAGCGACAGCUUGAACUAGUUAAAGAUAUAGGGGUCGGCCAACCUGUGUGCCAGCCGCCGCGGCUAAACCAGGGACCCAAAUUGAUAAUCAUCGGCGUCAAGUGUGACAUUAAAGAACCAUUAACAAUAUUAGAAUUGAUCAGAGGUCCAGUUGUUACAAGCCUACCUCAUGGAAACACGCACAAAGCCACUCUAAUAAUUAUCCGAAUGCACGACAGCUCAGACACAAACUGGGAUUAGAUACCCCACUAUGCUAAGCUAUAAACUUAAAUUACACCCACCCACGCCAGGGAAUUACAAGCCACGCUUGAAACCCAAAGGACUUGACGGUGCCCCAACCAACUAGAGGAGCCUGUUCUAUAAUUGAUAAUCCCCAUUAUACCUUACCCCCACUGGCCUUUCAGCCUGUAUACCUCCGUCGCAAGCUUACCAUGUGAACGUCAAAUAGUAAGCUCAAAUAACCACCCUAAACACGUCAGGUCAAGGUGCAGCUUAUGUGAAGGGAAGCAAUGGGCUACAAUUUCUAAACUAGAAUAAACUAACAGUCACAUGAAACUGUGUCUUAAAGGCGGAUUUAGCAGUAAGAGAGGAACAGAGAGCCCCUCUUAAUUAGGACCUGGGUCGCGUACAAACCGCCCGUCACCCUCUUUGACAUUACUUAAUUUAUAUUUAAUACAACAUUAUAUACAAAAAGAGGCAAGUCGUAACAUGGUAAGUGUACUGGAAAGUGCACUUAGAAAU